GCACCCGCGGUAAUUCCAGCACCAAUAGCGUAUAUUAAUGCUGCUGCUGUUAAAAAGCUCGUAGUUGGAUCAAGAGUCGGACAGUGCACGGUGGCCCCAUUAGCCAGUUUGGCUCCGGUCAUAUUGGCGGUGGCGGAUCAACCCCGUGCGCCAAACUGUCCGCUCUAACAGGCCGAAACGGUUCCCUGUGAGUAGGCCCCUUCAUUGGGGUCGAGAGCGCCUACGCAUCAACCAUAUGCAUACGGGACGUCGGCCAAAGUUACUGUGAACAAACCAGCGUGUCCAAAGCAGGCUUUCGCCUGAAUGUUCGAGCAUGGAAUAACAAGGGAUCGAUUCUCUCGGUUCUUUUUGUUGGUUUUUAACCCGAGAAGGAGUAAUUCAGUCCACGGUGUCUGAGUUGGGUUUCCCGAGGCUUCGGCUGAGGCCCCAAUUAGGCCGUGUACUUACGGGAUCAAUAGGGACUGACGGGGUCGUACGUACUUCCGCGUCAGAGGUGAAAUUCUUAGAUCGCGGGAAGACGAACUUCUGCGAAAGCAUUCGACAAGAAUGUCUUCAUUAAUCAAGAACGAGAGUGUGGGGAUCGAAGAUGAUCAGAUACCGUCGUAGUCCACUACUGUAAACAAUGCCGUCUCAGGAUUGAGAAGUGAACUGAAUGACUUUCACAGCACUAACCCCUGAAACGAGAAAUCAAAGAUUAUGGGUUCAGGGGGGAGUACAUUCGCAAGGCUGAAACUUAAAGGAAUUGACGGAAUGACACCGCAAGGCGUGGAGUAUGCGGCUUAAUUUGACUCAACACGGGGAAUUUUACUAGGUCAGGACAAUGUAAGGAUUGACAGAUUGAGAGCUCUUUCUCGAUCCAUUGUGUGGUGGUGCAUGGCCGCUCCUGGUUGGUGGAGUGAUUUGUCUGGUUGAUUCCGUUAACGAACGAGAUCUCGACCCUUAAAUAGGUGCCCGUGUCGAUCGUAGUUUCACUCCUGCUCGCUUGCGAGACUAGGAUGGGACGAGACUGCGGGAAUACUUCUUAAGGGGACUGUAUGCGUCUAUAGCAUGCGGAAGAGCGAGCCAAUAGCAGGUCUGUGAUGCUCCUAAAUGUCCUAGGCUGCACGCGCACUACACUGAUGCAAUAAGCGAGUCUGACGGCCUUCUGGCAACCUACCUGGAAGCGGGUGGGAAAUCUUUUGAACUGCAUCGUGAUGAG
This 1198-nucleotide ribosomal RNA is filed under the name uncultured marine diplonemid. RNAcentral's name for it is "bacterial SSU rRNA". It matches the Rfam family "Eukaryotic small subunit ribosomal RNA", at positions 570 to 1574 of the family's 1831-position model. Lineage: Eukaryota; Euglenozoa; Diplonemea. The record is from RNAcentral.